ACUCCUACGGGAGGCAGCAGUGGGGAAUAUUGCACAAUGGGCGCAAGCCUGAUGCAGCCAUGCCGCGUGUAUGAAGAAGGCCUUCGGGUUGUAAAGUACUUUCAGCAGUGAGGAAGGUGGAUAUGUUAAUAGCAUAUUCUAUUUGUACGUUAGCUGCAGAAGAAGCACCGGCUAACUCCGUGCCAGCAGCCGCGGUAAUACGGAGGGUGCGAGCGUUAAUCGGAAUUACUGGGCGUAAAGCGCAUGCAGGUGGUUUGUUAAGUCAGAUGUGAAAGCCCGGGGCUCAACCUCGGAAUUGCAUUUGAAACUGGCAAACUAGAGUACUGUAGAGGGGGUAGAAUUUCAGGUGUAGCGGUGAAAUGCGUAGAGAUCUGAAGGAAUACCGGUGGCGAACGGCGGCCCCCGUGGACAGAUACUGACACUCAGAUGCGAAAGCGUGGGAGCAAACAGGAUUAGAUACCCCGUGUAGGUCAGUC
This 476-nucleotide ribosomal RNA is filed under the name uncultured bacterium. Its description in RNAcentral is "bacterial SSU rRNA". It matches the Rfam family "Bacterial small subunit ribosomal RNA", at positions 335 to 800 of the family's 1533-position model. The record is from RNAcentral.